This 468-nucleotide ribosomal RNA is filed under the name uncultured bacterium. RNAcentral describes it as "partial 16S ribosomal RNA". It matches the Rfam family "Bacterial small subunit ribosomal RNA", at positions 28 to 507 of the family's 1533-position model. The record is from RNAcentral.
GACGAACGCUGGCGGCGUGCUUAACACAUGCAAGUCGAACGGAAAGGCCCUGCUUUUGUGGGGUGCUCGAGUGGCGAACGGGUGAGUAACACGUGAGUAACCUGCCCUUGACUUUGGGAUAACUUCAGGAAACUGGGGCUAAUACCGGAUAGGAGCUCCUGCUGCAUGGUGGGGGUUGGAAAGUUUCGGCGGUUGGGGAUGGACUCGCGGCUUAUCAGCUUGUUGGUGGGGUAGUGGCUUACCAAGGCUUUGACGGGUAGCCGGCCUGAGAGGGUGACCGGCAACAUUGGGCCUGGGACCGGGCCCGGCUCCCACCGGGGGGCAGAGGGGGGGAUUUUGCCCCAUGGGGCGGAGCCCGGAGGCAGCACCCCCGGGGGGGGGAGGCCGCCUUUCGGGUGGAAACCCGUUUCCGCCGGUGACGAGGGGGGGGUGACGGUAAGGGGUAAAAAAGCCCCGGCUAACUACGUG